CACGCCUCCUCCGGGACCGGAGGCGGGUGGCUGCGCUCGGUCGGGUGUCGCGCGUGGGGGCUAAACUGCAAGGGCUCAUGAGGUUGGGGCUGUUCCCAGGCCCAAGCGUGUUCCUGCGCGCUUCUUCUUGCUCCCUUUGCUUGGUCUUUCCUGGGUUUUUGUUGUUGUUUUUACUCAGAAGUGUAGUUUCUAAGUAAAUGAAGGCAUUACACGCCACAGAUUUGCGCAGGGGAGUCAGAUCCCCUGGCUCACCCUGAGGGAGGCUGGCCUCAGCAACAGAAAGCCAGAGCUCGGAUUCUCCCGCAGUGUGGAGCCAGUCCUCUUAGCUAGCCUUGAACAGCGUGGGAAAAGGCGGCUGUACCAAGUUGUAGAUGCCGGGCUUGAAGAGAAGAAUAGGUAUAUCUACGAAGUUAUGCUUACGAAGAUUGGAGACACCUUAGAAAGGAAGACUCAGUAGAAUUUUGUGAAACUUGGAUAAAUAGGUUGUUUGACUUACCAACAGUGGUUGGAGGAGGUCUUCGAGAGGUCAUGGCCUCUGAUCGACCUGUGAGGAGGGGCAAUUGGAGGCUCCUGACCCCCUCCCCUGUCUCGGGAAGGUGCGUUCCUUGAUUCCACUGCCACAGCGCCGCAGGGACGGACGCAGGCGGCCUUCAGAAAAACCACCAGGAGGGCGUUCGUGGGGAAUGAAUGCAGGAUAUUACUGUGAACUACAAGCAAUUUGUUCCUGUGUAGAGCUGCAAUAUUAACAAGAAGCUGGGCGGUCUGAUGAGUUUUCCUUCAUCUCUCAGGGCAACGGAGUAUGAAGAAAUGGGAAGAAAAUGUUUGCUGACUGCUGCUCUAGGACGUUCAUCAACACAGAUGACCAGGGCUCACACCAGUGUUCCUGAAAGCCAGUGAAGUUUAUAGAUCUUCAAAAUGGAGAUCACAAUAUUUCUGCUAUCGAAGGACUGCGAAGCCUACAUGAGUAUUCUGAGCACUGUAGGGACUCAAGAAAGAAUUGAAUAUGAUUUCUUUCUGGAGAACCGGGGCCUAUUCACAUGGAAGGUUAACUAUCAACAGAAGCUCCAAGAACAAAAAUAAGUGGAAUUUGGAAAUAAGGUAAAUGAUUAAUUGUCAAAGAAGCACACAAGCGAAAGGAAACCUCUGAAAGUGAAGACGUGCUGUAUCCAAAAAGGCCAGGAAGAAAGAAGUGUUUCAUUAUUAUGUUUAGAGAUUAUGCAGUAGCAAUUUAUAUAUUAAAGAUUACAUCAAGAGAAAAUUUAGUUAUUAUUAAAUGGACAGUUAUAGUUAAUCAAAGUAAGAUAUGGAUGUGAAAAUAAUACGGAGAUGGUUAACAAUAGUUAACUAGAUUAAUUAAUGUCAAUUAAGCAUCCUGAAUUCAUUAAAGCCCUUACAUAAAUCAGAACUUUCCUUUUCAUGAGAAAUUCUUGUAAUGGGUUGGGAUGAUCUUGUUGGACUUUGAUUGCAGCUUUCACUCAACGACUCUGAUCUCGUUGAGCAGUUGUGAUAAGGCUAGCUGCAUCCAAAAUGAGCAUGUAUCAGUAUUGUAACACCUUUAGGUCUAUCACCCCUACAAAACCCUUGUCACUUUAGUUUAAUUGCAAAUUCCCUGGAGAGCCUCCUCUAAUGACCCAUUUACAUUAAAGCUUUUAAAUUAGAUUUCAAUCUUAAUUUCACUUGAAAUGUUACCCUGGAGUAAUCAUUCCAUUAUAAAUCAUUUUAUUUGAUUUUAUGGAAUUGCUCAAUUACAAGAGAAGUAUUGAAAUAAAGUGCAGCUAUAUUGAGAAAAGCAGAGAGACAAAAGCAGAGUCUGUUUGACUUUGGGAAAAUGUUAUCAGUCAGGGCAAAACUUAGUCAUUUAUAAGCCACACAAUGUCUUACAGUACUGAACUGUGGUGUAUUUUGUACCAGAGAUAAUUGGAGUACUGUGGCAAUUUGAAUGGAUAUCAAGGCUUUAAACUGGGGGAGGAAGCACAGGAGAAUGCCAAGACCAUUCCAGAUCAAGGUAGGCUGCUUCUUUCCCUUCUGGAAAAAUUGCUGACCCCCAGAGGCCAUCUUUAAUGACUGAGUGGCAUUUCAGAAAUUACCUUCUUUCAGUAUGUGUUCCAUUUACACAAUGUAUGUGUUAUUGAGUCUGUUUGGGUUGACAGCUCCUCACCCUUGGUAUAUUUUAUUUAAGCUUCACUCUAUACUUGGCAACAUUCCUGUGUGCUCAAUGUGAAAACUUUUUGACAAUGUCUUUUCAACCUAGUUUGGGGCGGGUCAGGAUGCUUUUUAUUAUUAAAAAUAAGCCACAUUUACAUUCUUUGAUUAGCAAAUUCAGGGAGAUAAGGAAGGAAAGAUAGGUAGGGAUUUUAUAUCAAUAAGCAGUACAUAAGUCUUAGAAUUGGAAGGGACCCUAGAUACAAAUGACUCAACCUCCAGAUUCUACAAAAGGGGCACUGAAGCUCUGAAUUUAGUGACUUGCUUCAGUUGGGCCCAGUGGGAAUUCUAGUUAUGGACAGAGCAGGAGGUAGCAACUGAGAACUUCAGCAUAUUUCUCUCCAUAAUUCACGCUCUAGAAAUACAGAUUUCUUUAAAAAAAAAAAUCCAAAGGGGUUGAUUUACAUUCUCUGUAAAGAAAUGAGAUGGUGCUUAUAAACACCAA
Felis catus (domestic cat) is the source of this 2647-nucleotide long non-coding RNA. RefSeq lists it as uncharacterized. NCBI's taxonomy places the organism in Eukaryota, Metazoa, Chordata, Mammalia, Carnivora, Felidae. The transcript is spliced from 7 exons. The record is from RefSeq and is a predicted model, not a curated record.